GCCGGAGUGGCGGAACUGGUAGACGCGACGGUCUCAAACACCGUUGAGGGGUAACCCUCGUGCCGGUUCGAAUCCGGCCUCCGGCACCA
This 89-nucleotide transfer RNA is filed under the name Chloroflexota bacterium. Its description in RNAcentral is "Chloroflexi bacterium tRNA-Leu". It matches the Rfam family "tRNA". From Rfam's summary of the family: Transfer RNA (tRNA) molecules are approximately 80 nucleotides in length. Their secondary structure includes four short double-helical elements and three loops (D, anti-codon, and T loops). Lineage: Bacteria; Bacillati; Chloroflexota. The record is from RNAcentral.